RNAcentral lists this ribosomal RNA (373 nucleotides) under uncultured bacterium. RNAcentral describes it as "bacterial SSU rRNA". It matches the Rfam family "Bacterial small subunit ribosomal RNA", at positions 29 to 429 of the family's 1533-position model. The record is from RNAcentral.
AACGAACGCUGGCGGCAGGCUUAACACAUGCAAGUCGAACGGUUGUAGCAAUACAGCAGUGGCAGACGGGUGAGUAACACGUGGGAACCUUCCUAGGGGUACGGAACAACUCAGGGAAACUUGAGCUAAUACCGUAUACGUCCGUGAGGAGAAAGAUUUAUCGCCCUUAGACGGGCCCGCGUAGGAUUAGGUAGUUGGUGGGGUAAUGGCCUACCAAGCCUACGAUCCUUAGCUGAUCUGAGAGGAUGAUCAGCCACACUGGGACUGAGACACGGCCCAGACUCCUACGGGAGGCAGCAGUGGGGAAUCUUGGACAAUGGGCGCAAGCCUGAUCCAGCCAUGCCGCGUGAGUGAAGAAGGCCUCGGUUGUAAG